Molecule: ribosomal RNA, 135 nt
Filed under: uncultured eukaryote
Lineage: Eukaryota
Description: partial 18S ribosomal RNA
Rfam family: Eukaryotic small subunit ribosomal RNA
Source: RNAcentral
UGGUGGAGUGAUUUGUCUGCUUAAUUGCGAUAACGAACGAGACUCUGGCCUACUAACUAGAAGACAGUUCUUCGAGACUGUCAUACUUCUUAGAGGGAUAAGGGGAUUGAAGCCCCAAGAGAUUGAGCAAUAACA